GUAGUACAGUACUUGGCCUGCGUGAGCCCUAGAUUCUAGUCCCAGCACUUCAAUAAAAAAGAGCCUUUAAGGAAACAGACCUGCAUUCAGAUAAGCUCUUCUGUAUGUGGCAGUGACGUAGAUAUUAACAGAUUAAUGUGACAUAUACUAUGAAACAUUGGCCAUAAAUUGUUUUUUUUAAAAAAAGCUUGUCAUAUGAAGAAUUAUGUUGAAGUAUUUUUCAUAUUUUAUUUUUUAAUUGUACACAAUACCUUUUUUUUGUUGUUGUUUAAGGAUCGAACCCAGGGUCUCGCACAUGCUAGGUGAGUGCUCUACCACUGAGCCACAACCCCAGCCCCAGAAGUAUUUUUUUUCAAUAAUUUUUUUCAAUAAUUUGCCCUUAGUUUAUUUGUGAACCCAAACAUAUAUUGUGUUUGUUUAAAGCAGAGCACACUACCCACUGUUUUCUUUAGUGUUAUAAAAUGUUUAUGAGUACAAGCUACAUGUUUUUAUUUUAAUUAUUUAAAGUCAAGGGUCCCCCCCCCCAUAACAUACUGGGGAUGAAUCCAGGGCCUCACAUGCUAGGCAAGCACUCUACCACUGAGCUGCAUCCCCAGCCCAACAUGAACCUCUUUACAGGAAAAGUGGUAAAAUUGAUCAGAAUGAUGAGCAAUAUUGACACAACUGACCCCCAUAAGAGAGAUUUGGCAACAUCCAAUCAGUGCUUAUUUUUGUCUCAUGUCUUUGUUGGCUUAUACAAGUUCCCUUUUAUGAUUAAAGGAAAAAGGACAUAGAAAUGAGACAAAAAUGAAGCAAUAAGCCCAGGUGCAUUGGUGCAUGCCUGUAAUCCCAGCUACUCAGGAGGCCAAGGCAGGAGGAUUUUAAGUGGGAGGCCAACCUGGUCAACAUGCAAAAUAUAAUCUCAAAAAAAUGAUACAGAAUUUCACUUUGAAUUGAGCUUGUUCUGUAUAACAGAAUCUUUGAGGUUAUCAAUAAAAAUCAGAACUCCUGCCCAACUAGGCCCCAGAGGAAAUGCUUGGCUGUUGAACUGUACCCUUCUGUGCCAGGGUUGCCACUUCCUGGUUCUCAUGAGAUAAAACCCACUCAAACCAAAUCAGAAGCUUCCAUCCAGGAGAGAUCUUCCUUCUAGAAUGCCUGCAUAACUUUCUCUCCAGAUUGAGCCACCUAAGAAGGUCCUAUUUGCAGUUGUUCCUUAGGCAUUGAAUAGAACUAAACCUAGUGCUUUCUGCUUCUUGUCCUCUGGGAUUCACUCUGGCUCCUUUGAGUUUUCCAGAAUCAAAUAUGCCUCUCUAGGAUGUACUCUCAGUCACAAUAUGAUAUUUUAACAACAGAAGGAGAGUAAAAAUGCCCUAAGCCUAUAGGCUUCCCCAAGUUGAAACUUCCCCUUCAUAACUAAUGAUUUUUUCACUCCUGGGAGGGGCUGAUGUCAAUACUGCUUGUAUUGACUUCUUUCAGGUAAUGCAGAAACUUCCUAGCCAGAACUGUCUGUGGUCAGCUCAACAUAGAGCUAUGGCCUAGUCAAGAAACUCUGCCUCCAUAGAGUUUAGCCCCCUGCUCCCAUCCUUUCCAAUUUUUUUGGUUGUUAAUAUCCACAUUUCAACCUACAUGCACAUUAACUGGCCAUUCUUGUUUCCUGUCUACUCGUACACAUGUGUUGCCAAAUGUCAUUGGUGCAAUAGAAAAUCCUGAAAAAAAAAAUUUUGCUCCAUUUAUUCAAGUAGAGCUCCCCAAAUUAUACCUCUUUCCGUAAUACUGUUUACCUUCCAUGAAGUCAACAUCAACAAUUUAUGGAUUCCAUAAGUGCAGCAUAAUUAAGUCUUGAAAUAUCCCACUUUCCCUACAUCCAGUUUGUUAUCUUGAACUUUAGAAGUACAUUAUGGGGAUAUUUAACAGAGUCAUGGGAAUAGAGGAGACUGCAGUGCUUUUGUCCCAUCAGGAUAUCUACUGCCACUCUUAGAAUAGUUGUCUUCUAUCUAAGAGCCCAAAUGAGAAAUUUCAUAAAAGGACCAAUAUUUAGGGUUGAAGGAGCAUUGUGUCCACAAGUGGAGUUAACACACUUCCUCUUAAAUGGUCUACCACAAUGAACUCCCAUUGGAGAGGGAGAUGGAUGGAUGGAGGGAAGGAGGAAGGAAGGGAAGAAAAGGAGGAAGAAUAGAGAAAAGAGUUAUGGAAAUUGCCAAUUGUGAUAACUGAAGUGACUAUCUCUUCAUCUCCUGGGCAGAACCUCAUAUAUCUUCUUCCCAUAUUGACUGUGGACUUCCAUCUUCCAUGCCCAUUGUGGAUGUCACUUAUUCCCAAACCAAGACAGCAGUCAUGUAUGCAGGACAUAUAAUUCAUGUUCUCACACCCUUAGGCUGAUCUCAUAAAGGACAAAUAGUAUGCCAAGUGUCCUUUGUUAAGCUGGUCACCCAGCCAAAGGCUGGUGCCCAUUGAGUGUUUACUACAUGCAAGGUUGUUUUUUCUAGAUUUUUUUAGCAUUUAUCUUCUCAUUAGAACCUCACCAUAAUCUAUGAAGUAGGUUUCUAUUCCCACAUUAUAAGUGAGUGAACUCUAGCUCAGGGUGGUUAUGUUACUUUCCUACAGUUUACUGAUUAAAACCUGGGCCAGAUCCUGCAUGGAUUCCAGAGCCCAUAUGUUCGUUCUUUCUUUUCCAGAGCCCACAUGUUCUUUCUUUUCCUUCCUUCCUUCCUUCCUGUGCUGGGUAUUGAACCCAGGGCUUUGCACAUGCUUGGAAAGUGCUCUACCACUUAGUCACAAUCACAGUCCAGAAAUGAAGAUAUUUUAAUUUCAAAAGAAGAGCUACACAUCCCAGUGCCACAGACCCAGGAGAACAAAUCAGCUCAUGGAUACCUGUGGAGAACUUCAAGUCUUGAUGACAGCAAAAUGGUAGCAACGAUGUACUGAAUGCUAAGUACGUGUUGGCCACUGUACUACACAUUAUUUUAUUUAGUCCUGAGGAAGGUGCUAGUGUUACCCAUGCUUGACAAAGAAGGACAUUGUGGCUCAGAAAAAUAACCUUUUCAAGGUUGUAGCUAGGAAGCAGGGAGGUUGGCUUGGAAUUCAGAUUGUCUGACCUCACAGCCAUUGUUUUGACUACAAGUUAGGUUUCCUCCCAUGAAGGCUAUUCUCCUCACUUCUCAGAUUGACUCCUACCAUAUUAUUUCUAAUUCUGGUUCUCCAAAUACUUGUCCCCUCUUGUGUCUUUAGGGCCUUUCUUUAUGAGGGCCUCUCUCCCUAAUGACUACAAAUUCAGGGCCCCAUGAUAGUCAAUAGAGUUUUCCCAGCUUAUUCUUCACCCUAUACACCUCUGUGGCUGCUUUGAUUCUUUUGUUACAGAAAAAAAAAAUGUACAUGUAGUUUUAGACAUUUUUUGUUUUAAAAUUUUUAUUAGUUAUUGAUGGACUUUUAUUAAUUUAUUUGUUUAUAUAUGGUGCUGAGAAUCGAACCCAGUGCCCCACACAUGCUAGGCAAGCGCUCUGCACUGAACCACAACGCCAGCCCUAGUUUUGGACAUUUGAAAGAAAUGUUUGAGGUGAUAGAUGUGCUAGUUACCCUGAUUUAAAUUAUACAAUAUAUACAUGUAUUGAAACAUCAUGCUGUACCCUGUAAAUAUAUACAACUCUUAUGUGUCAAUUAAAAGUAAAGUGAAACUUUAAAAAGGCAAAAUAAAGGACAAAAGUCAAAUACUACAACUUCAUUGUUUUCCAGAGUCAUACAUCCCAGAGCUGGAAGGGGCCAUAAGAAGUCAUUUAG
Molecule: long non-coding RNA, 3753 nt
Filed under: Marmota monax (woodchuck)
Lineage: Eukaryota; Metazoa; Chordata; Mammalia; Rodentia; Sciuridae
Source: RNAcentral